RNAcentral lists this ribosomal RNA (253 nucleotides) under uncultured prokaryote. Its description in RNAcentral is "partial 16S ribosomal RNA". It matches the Rfam family "Bacterial small subunit ribosomal RNA", at positions 524 to 776 of the family's 1533-position model. The record is from RNAcentral.
UACGUAGGGUGCGAGCGUUAAUCGGAAUUACUGGGCGUAAAGCGUGCGCAGGCGGUUCGGAAAGAAGGAUGUGAAAUCCCAGGGCUUAACCUUGGAACUGCAUUUUUAACUACCGAGCUAGAGUAUGUCAGAGGGGGGUAGAAUUCCACGUGUAGCAGUGAAAUGCGUAGAGAUGUGGAGGAAUACCGAUGGCGAAGGCAGCCCCCUGGGAUAAUACUGACGCUCAUGCACGAAAGCGUGGGGAGCAAACAGG